UGCCAGCCGCCGCGGUAAUACGGAGGGGGUUAGCGUUACUCGGAAUCACUGGGCGUAAAGAGCAUGUAGGCUGGUUUGUAAGUUGGAAGUGAAAUCCUAUGGCUUAACCAUAGAACUGCUUCCAAAACUGCAGACCUAGAAUAUGGGAGAGGUAGAUGGAAUUUCUGGUGUAGGGGUAAAAUCCGUAGAGAUCAGAAGGAAUACCGAUUGCGAAGGCGAUCUACUGGAACAUUACUGACACUGAGGAACGAAAGCAUGGGUAGCGAAGAGGAUUAGAUA
This 279-nucleotide ribosomal RNA is filed under the name uncultured bacterium. Its description in RNAcentral is "partial 16S ribosomal RNA". It matches the Rfam family "Bacterial small subunit ribosomal RNA", at positions 506 to 784 of the family's 1533-position model. The record is from RNAcentral.